This 605-nucleotide ribosomal RNA is filed under the name uncultured Bacilli bacterium. RNAcentral describes it as "bacterial SSU rRNA". It matches the Rfam family "Bacterial small subunit ribosomal RNA", at positions 85 to 676 of the family's 1533-position model. The record is from RNAcentral. Lineage: Bacteria; Bacillati; Bacillota; Bacilli.
AAAAAGAGGAGUGGCGAACGGGUGAGUAACACGUGGGUAACCUGCCCAUCAGAAGGGGAUAACACUUGGAAACAGGUGCUAAUACCGUAUAACAAUCAAAACCGCAUGGUUUUGAUUUGAAAGGCGCUUUCGGGUGUCGCUGAUGGAUGGACCCGCGGUGCAUUAGCUAGUUGGUGAGGUAACGGCUCACCAAGGCCACGAUGCAUAGCCGACCUGAGAGGGUGAUCGGCCACAUUGGGGCUGAGACACGGCCCAAACUCCUACGGGAGGCAGCAGUAGGGAAUCUUCGGCAAUGGACGAAAGUCUGACCGAGCAACGCCGCGUGAGUGAAGAAGGUUUUCGGAUCGUAAAACUCUGUUGUUAGAGAGGAACAAGGAUGAGAGUAACUGUUCAUCCCUUGACGGUAUCUAACCAGAAAGCCACGGCUAACUACGUGCCAGCAGCCGCGGUAAUACGUAGGUGGCAAGCGUUGUCCGGAUUUAUUGGGCGUAACGCGAGCGCAGGCGGUUUCUUAAGUCUGAUGUGAAAGCCCCCGGCUCAACCGGGGAGGGUCAUUGGAAACUGGGAGACUUGAGUGCAGAAGAGGAGAGUGGAAUUCCAUGUGU